UGCUCCGUGGUGGACUUCUCAAGUCUGAACAUCAUUCAUGAUAGGCUGAGAGUCAGAUGAUACAUAUAUCAAUAACAUAUAAGUCAAAAAAUUCUUCUCUUUCCGAUAUGUCUUUUAUAUGGCUUCAAUAUAACUUGAUAUAACUUGAUACUGUUAUGAUCCAUGCAUUUCAACAGGCUAUAAUCAUAAUUCAUCAAGCUUGAUCUGAUCAUAGCGUGUAACUUCAUUUAUUUCCACUU
RNAcentral lists this long non-coding RNA (239 nucleotides) under Elaeis guineensis (African oil palm). Its description in RNAcentral is "long non-coding RNA (EGUI_LNC019571)". The record is from RNAcentral. Lineage: Eukaryota; Viridiplantae; Streptophyta; Magnoliopsida; Arecales; Arecaceae.